RNAcentral lists this ribosomal RNA (492 nucleotides) under uncultured bacterium. RNAcentral's name for it is "partial 16S ribosomal RNA". It matches the Rfam family "Bacterial small subunit ribosomal RNA", at positions 29 to 507 of the family's 1533-position model. The record is from RNAcentral.
AGUGAACGCUGGCGGUAGGCCUAACACAUGCAAGUCGAACGGCAGCACAGUAAGAGCUUGCUCUUACGGGUGGCGAGUGGCGGACGGGUGAGGUAUACAUCGGAAUCUACUUUUUCGUGGGGGAUAACGUAGGGAAACUUACGCUAAUACCGCAUACGACCUACGGGUGAAAGCAGGGGAUCUUCGGACCUUGCGCGAUUGAAUGAGCCGAUGUCGGAUUAGCUAGUUGGCGGGGUAAAGGCCCACCAAGGCGACGAUCCGUAGCUGGUCUGAGAGGAUGAUCAGCCACACUGGAACUGAGACACGGUCCAGACUCCUACGGGAGGCAGCAGUGGGGAAUAUUGGACAAUGGGCGCAAGCCUGAUCCAGCCAUACCGCGUGGGUGAAGAAGGCCUUCGGGUUGUAGAGCCCUUUUGUUGGGAAAGAAAAGCAGCAGGUUAAUACCCCGCUGUUCUGACGGUACCCAAAGAAUAAGCACCGGCUAACUUCGUG